CAGCAGCCGCGGUAAUACGAAGGGGGCUAGCGUUGCUCGGAAUCACUGGGCGUAAAGGGUGCGUAGGCGGGCUAUUAAGUCAGGGGUGAAAUAUUGCAGCUUAACUGGGAAAUUGCCUUUGAUACUGGUAGUCUUGAGUUCGAGAGAGGUAAGUGGAACUGCGAGUGUAGAGGUGAAAUUCGUAGAUAUUCGCAAGAACACCAGUGGCGAAGGCGGCUUACUGGCUCGAAACUGACGCUGAGGCGCGAAAGCGUGGGGAGCAAACAGGAUUAGAUACCCGGGUAGUCCCUGUCUCUUAUAA
This 301-nucleotide ribosomal RNA is filed under the name uncultured bacterium. RNAcentral describes it as "partial 16S ribosomal RNA". It matches the Rfam family "Bacterial small subunit ribosomal RNA", at positions 509 to 809 of the family's 1533-position model. The record is from RNAcentral.